CCUACGGGAGGCAGCAGUGGGGAAUAUUGGGCAAUGGAGGAAACUCUGACCCAGCAAUGCCGCGUGAAUGAAGAAGGCCUUCGGAUUGUAAAGUUCUUUAGUCAGGGAGGAAGUCAAUGACGGUACCUGCAUAAUAAGCUCCGGCUAACUACGUGCCAGCAGCCGCGGUAAUACGUAGGGAGCGAGCGGUUUUCGGAAUGACUGGGCGUAAAGGGUGCGUAUGCGGUUGUUCAAGUUAGAAGUUAAAUACCCAGGGCUUAACUCGGGUGCUGCUUCUAAAACUGGAUGACUUGAGUGCAGUAGAGGUUAGUGGAAUUCCUAGUGUAGCGGUGGAAUGCGUAGAUAUGAGGAGGAACACCAGAGGCGAAGGCGGCUAACUGGACUGCAACUGACGCUGAGGCACGAAAGUGUGGGGAGCAAACAGGAUUAGAUACCCUAGUAGUC
RNAcentral lists this ribosomal RNA (444 nucleotides) under uncultured bacterium. RNAcentral's name for it is "partial 16S ribosomal RNA". It matches the Rfam family "Bacterial small subunit ribosomal RNA", at positions 338 to 795 of the family's 1533-position model. The record is from RNAcentral.